This 497-nucleotide ribosomal RNA is filed under the name uncultured bacterium. RNAcentral describes it as "partial 16S ribosomal RNA". It matches the Rfam family "Bacterial small subunit ribosomal RNA", at positions 28 to 507 of the family's 1533-position model. The record is from RNAcentral.
GAUGAACGCUGGCGGCGUGCCUAAUACAUGCAAGUCGAGCGAACGGACGAUAAGCUUGUUUCUCUGAUGUUAGCCGAGGACGGGUGAGUAACACGUGUAUACCCUACCUAUAAGACUGGUAUAACUUCGGGAAACCGGAUCUAAUACCGUAUAAUAUUCUGCACCGCAGGGUUCAAAAGUGAAAUACGGCGUUGCUGUCACUUAUAGCUGCAUCCGCGCUGCAUUAGGUAGUUGUUAAGGUAACGGCCUACCACGGCAACGAUGCAUAGGCGAGGUGAGAGGGGGAUCGGCGACACGGGAGCUGGAACACGGUCAAGAGGCCUGAGGGAGGGAGCAGUAGGGAAUGUUACGCAGUGGGGGAGAGCAUGGCGGAGCGACGCCGAGUGAGUGAUGACAGUCUUCGGAUCGUAAAACUCUGUUAUUAGGGAAAAACAUCUGUGUAAGUAACUGUGCAGAGCUUGACGGUACCUAAUCAGAAAGCAACGGCUAACUACGUG